This 319-nucleotide unclassified non-coding RNA is filed under the name uncultured Sympoventuriaceae. Its description in RNAcentral is "sequence contains ITS1". The stretch from base 1 to 104 matches the Rfam family "5.8S ribosomal RNA", at positions 50 to 154 of the family's 154-position model. Lineage: Eukaryota; Fungi; Ascomycota; Dothideomycetes; Venturiales. The record is from RNAcentral.
GAAACGCGAAAGGUAAUGCGAAUUGCAGAAUCAGUGAGUCAUCGAAUCUUUGAACGCACAUUGCGCCUCUCGGUAUUCCGGGAGGCACGCCUGUUCGAGCGCCAUUACACACCCCAAGCUUGGCUUGAUGUUGGAUGCUGUCUGUUACAGGACAGGUCUGGAACGCGUGGGCGCCGCCGCCGGACCACGAGCGUAGCAAGACGCAAGUCAUCGCUCUGUGGACUCUGGUGGACGGUCGUCAUGACGGCGGGUAACACCGACGUCGAAACACUUUUACAAGUUUGGCCUCGGAUCAGGCGGGGAUACCCGCUGAACUUAA